GAUGAACGCUGGCGGCGUGCCUAAUACAUGCAAGUUGAGCGAACAGGCGAGGAGCUUGCUCCUUUGACGUUAGCGGCGGACGGGUGAGUAACACGUGGGUAACCUACCUAUAAGACUGGGAUAACUUCGGGAAACCGGAGCUAAUACCGGAUAAUAUUUCGAACCGCAUGGUUCGAUAGUGAAAGAUGGCUUUGCUAUCACUUAUAGAUGGACCUGCGCCGUAUUAGCUAGUUGGUAAGGUAACGGCUUACCAAGGCAACGAUACGUAGCCGACCUGAGAGGGUGAUCGGCCACACUGGAACUGAGACACGGUCCAGACUCCUACGGGAGGCAGCAGUAGGGAAUCUUCCGCAAUGGGCGAAAGCCUGACGGAGCAACGCCGCGUGAGUGAUGAAGGUCUUCGGAUCGUAAAACUCUGUUAUUAGGGAAGAACAAACGUGUAAGUAACUGUGCACGUCUUGACGGUACCUAAUCAGAAAGCCACGGCUAACUACGUG
This 497-nucleotide ribosomal RNA is filed under the name uncultured bacterium. Its description in RNAcentral is "partial 16S ribosomal RNA". It matches the Rfam family "Bacterial small subunit ribosomal RNA", at positions 28 to 507 of the family's 1533-position model. The record is from RNAcentral.